UUUGAACUUGAGAAUUAGAGGAUUGCAAACCAUGAAGAAUUAUUAUUUUCGGUUUGGUUUCCUCUAAUAUCUCACUUUCAUC
This 82-nucleotide microRNA precursor is filed under the name Asparagus officinalis (garden asparagus). Its description in RNAcentral is "miR2275d stem-loop (aof-MIR2275d)". The record is from miRBase by way of RNAcentral. Lineage: Eukaryota; Viridiplantae; Streptophyta; Magnoliopsida; Asparagales; Asparagaceae.